RNAcentral lists this ribosomal RNA (234 nucleotides) under uncultured bacterium. RNAcentral describes it as "partial 16S ribosomal RNA". It matches the Rfam family "Bacterial small subunit ribosomal RNA", at positions 100 to 334 of the family's 1533-position model. The record is from RNAcentral.
CGGCACGGGUGAGUAACGCGUGGGAACCUGCCUUGUGGUUCGGGACAACCUCGGGAAACUGGGGCUAAUACCGGAUGAGCCGGGAGUCUGUGGUGGACUUUCGGGAAAGAUUCAUCGCCAUGAGAGGGGCCCGCGUCCGAUUAGGUAGUUGGUGAGGUAACGGCUCACCAAGCCUUCGAUCGGUAGCUGUUCUGAGAGGAAGAUCAGCCACACUGGGACUGAGACACGGCCCAG